CCUACGGGUGGCAGCAGUGAGGAAUAUUGGUCAAUGGGCGCAAGCCUGAACCAGCCAAGUCGCGUGAAGGAUGACUGCCCUCCGGGUUGUAAACUUCUUUUAUAAAGGAAUAAAGUGAGGCAAGUGUGCCUACUUGUAUGUACUUUAUGAAUAAGGAUCGGCUCACUCCGUGCCAGCAGCCGCGGUAAUACGGUGGAUCCGAGCGUUAUCCGGAUUUAUUGGGUUUAAAGGGAGCGUAGGUGGGUUGUUAAGUCAGUUGUGAAAGUUUGCGGCUCAACCGUAAAAUUGCAAUUGAUACUGGCAGCCUUGAGUGCAGUUGAGGUAGGCGGAAUUCGUGGUGUAGCGGUGAAAUGCUUAGAUAUCACGAAGAACUCCGAUUGCGAAGGCAGCCUACUAAACUGCCACUGACGUUGAGGCUCGAAAGUGUGGGUAUCAAACAGGAUUAGAUACCCCUGUAGUC
This 460-nucleotide ribosomal RNA is filed under the name uncultured bacterium. RNAcentral describes it as "partial 16S ribosomal RNA". It matches the Rfam family "Bacterial small subunit ribosomal RNA", at positions 338 to 795 of the family's 1533-position model. The record is from RNAcentral.